CAAAAUAAUAAAUUGGUUUUAUCUGAUUAUAAAUAUUUUUUUUAUUUUUAAUCUAAUGCCAGUUCCAUUAUUCUAUCAUAUAUACAAAACUUAUAUUGAACAGCAGUUUUAGUUAAGAAAAACUAAAUAAAUAAUGAUUUUGAAAUAGAAAGGGUUCUGCUGUCUAUGCGACAACAGAAUUGUUAGCUACUGUGUUUCCUCGAAAAUAAGACCCGGUCUUAUAAUAAUUUGUGCUGCAAAAGACUCGCUAGGGCUUAUUUUCAGGGGAUGUCUUAUUUUUCAUGUACAAUAAUUAAUAUUUGUUCAUGUUCAAGAAACACAUUUCUUCAGGUUGAAGAAAUACAUUUAUUCAUGUUCAAGAAACAUUCAAAAAGAAACAUUCUAAUACAGCCAUGUCGUCUUCUUCUGGGACAUCGUCAUAAAGCUCCAAAUGACGAAUUCCAGUCUGAAUUUUUUGCGACUUCAUUUCCUCUAAGACCAUUGGCCCUAGCCUCUCAUGUUGAGCAAUAGAGCUCUCUUCAAAUGAGCUCUUCUUGUCCAUGUAGCCUGCUCUAGGGCAUUGGCAACACAACUAUCCAUUAUUUUAUCCCAUGCAUUCUUCACCCAAGUAACGACUUCUUGUAGCUUAGGCUUUAUAGUUUCCUCAUUGAUUUCUCUCCG
RNAcentral lists this long non-coding RNA (660 nucleotides) under Androctonus crassicauda. Lineage: Eukaryota; Metazoa; Arthropoda; Arachnida; Scorpiones; Buthidae. The record is from RNAcentral.